Molecule: ribosomal RNA, 302 nt
Filed under: uncultured bacterium
Lineage: Bacteria
Description: partial 16S ribosomal RNA
Rfam family: Bacterial small subunit ribosomal RNA
Source: RNAcentral
GCAGUCGCCGCGGUAAUACGAGGGGUGCAAGCGUUAUUCGGAUUGAUUGGGUGUAAAGGGUGUGCAGACGGCUUAUUAAGUCACUUGUUAAAUUCUUCGGCCUAACUGAAGGUCUGCAAGUGAUACUGAUGAGCUAGAGGGUGGAAGAGAGAAGUGGAAUUCUCGGAGUAGCGGUAAAAUGCGUAGAUCUCGAGAGGAACACCAAUGGCGAAGGCAGCUUCUUGGUCCAUUCCUGACGUUCAUACACGAAAGCGUGGGGAGCAAACAGGAUUAGAUACCCGCGUAGUCCCUGUCUCUUAUAC